GAUGAACGCUAGCUACAGGCUUAACACAUGCAAGUCGAGGGACCGGCGCGCGUGUGAAUAACACGUAUCCAACCUGCCCUUUACUCGGGGAUAGCCUUUCGCAAGAAAUAUUAAUACCCGAUGUAAAGUAUGGGGAUGCGUUCCAUUAGGUUGUUGGUGAGGUAACGGCUCACCAAGCCUUCGCUGGAUAGGGGUUCUGAGAGGAAGGCCCCCUACAUUGGAACUGAGACACGGUCCAAACUCGUACGGGAGGCAGCAGUGAGGAAUACUGGGGACUGGGCGCUAGCCUGAACCAGCCAAGUAGCGUGAAGGAUGAAGGCUUAUGGGUCGUAAACUUCUUUUAUAGAAGAAUAUGUAUUAUAUGAAUAAGGAUCGGCUAACUACGUGCCAGCCGCCGCGGUAAUAC
RNAcentral lists this ribosomal RNA (406 nucleotides) under uncultured bacterium. RNAcentral describes it as "partial 16S ribosomal RNA". It matches the Rfam family "Bacterial small subunit ribosomal RNA", at positions 28 to 526 of the family's 1533-position model. The record is from RNAcentral.